RNAcentral lists this ribosomal RNA (465 nucleotides) under uncultured bacterium. RNAcentral describes it as "partial 16S ribosomal RNA". It matches the Rfam family "Bacterial small subunit ribosomal RNA", at positions 28 to 507 of the family's 1533-position model. The record is from RNAcentral.
GACGAACGCUGGCGGCGUGCUUAGCACAUGCAAGUCGAACGGAAAGGCCCUGCUUGCAGGGUACUCGAGUGGCGAACGGGUGAGUAACACGUGGGUGAUCUGCCCUGCACUUCGGGAUAAGCCUGGGAAACUGGGUCUAAUACCGGAUAGGAGCCAUUUUUAGUGUGAUGGUUGGAAAGUUUUUUCGGUGUAGGAUGAGCUCGCGGCCUAUCAGCUUGUUGGUGGGGUAAUGGCCUACCAAGGCGGCGACGGGUAGCCGGCCUGAGAGGGUGGACGGCCACAUUGGGACUGAGAUACGGCCCAGACUCCUACGGGAGGCAGCAGUGGGGAAUAUUGCACAAUGGGCGCAAGCCUGAUGCAGCGACGCCGCGGGGGGGAUGACGGCCUUCGGGUUGUAAACGCCUUUCGCUAGGGACGAAGCUUUUUGUGACGGUACCUAGAUAAGAAGCACCGGCUAACUACGUG